This 423-nucleotide ribosomal RNA is filed under the name uncultured bacterium. Its description in RNAcentral is "bacterial SSU rRNA". It matches the Rfam family "Bacterial small subunit ribosomal RNA", at positions 506 to 927 of the family's 1533-position model. The record is from RNAcentral.
GGCCAGCAGCCGCGGUAAUACGUAGGGGGCGAGCGUUGUCCGAAUUUACUGGGCGUAAAGCGCGUGUAGGCGGCUCUUUAAGUGAGAUGUGAAAUCCUGCGGCUCAACUGCAGAACUGCAUUUCAAACUGGAGGGCUUGAGUUUAGGAGAGGAAAGUGGAAUUCCUGGUGUAGCGGUGAAAUGCGUAGAUAUCAGGAGGAACACCCGUGGCGAAGGCGGCUUUCUGGCCUUAUACUGACGCUGAGACGCGAAAGCUAGGGGAGCGAACGGGAUUAGAUACCCCGGUAGUCCUAGCCGUAAACGAUGGAUACUAGGUGUUAGAGGUAUCGACCCCUCUAGUGCCGUAGCUAACGCAUUAAGUAUCCCGCCUGGGGAGUACGGCCGCAAGGUUGAAACUCAAAGGAAUUGACGGGGGCCCGCACA